CGGCAUAUGAGAUGCUCACCUGUGUGGGUGAUCUCUUCUUAAAGGGACUGACUACGCUUAGUGCUCGGAAGUUUGAGGCAAUAACAGGUCUGUGAUGCCCUUAAAUGUUCUGGGCCGCACGCGCGCUACACUGACAAAGGCAACCAGUAUACAACCUUGGCCGGAAGGGCUGGGCAAUCUUUUUAAACUCUGUCCUGCUGGG
RNAcentral lists this ribosomal RNA (202 nucleotides) under uncultured fungus. RNAcentral's name for it is "partial small subunit ribosomal RNA". It matches the Rfam family "Eukaryotic small subunit ribosomal RNA", at positions 1373 to 1574 of the family's 1831-position model. The record is from RNAcentral. Lineage: Eukaryota; Fungi.